UUAAAUUGAAGAGUUUGAUCAUGGCUCAGAUUGAACGCUGGCGGCAGGCCUAACACAUGCAAGUCGAACGGUAACAGGAAGCAGCUUGCUGCUUUGCUGACGAGUGGCGGACGGGUGAGUAAUGUCUGGGAAACUGCCUGAUGGAGGGGGAUAACUACUGGAAACGGUAGCUAAUACCGCAUAAUGUCGCAAGACCAAAGAGGGGGACCUUCGGGCCUCUUGCCAUCGGAUGUGCCCAGAUGGGAUUAGCUAGUAGGUGGGGUAACGGCUCACCUAGGCGACGAUCCCUAGCUGGUCUGAGAGGAUGACCAGCCACACUGGAACUGAGACACGGUCCAGACUCCUACGGGAGGCAGCAGUGGGGAAUAUUGCACAAUGGGCGCAAGCCUGAUGCAGCCAUGCCGCGUGUAUGAAGAAGGCCUUCGGGUUGUAAAGUACUUUCAGCGGGGAGGAAGGUGUUGAGGUUAAUAACCUCAGCAAUUGACGUUACCCGCAGAAGAAGCACCGGCUAACUCCGUGCCAGCAGCCGCGGUAAUACGGAGGGUGCAAGCGUUAAUCGGAAUUACUGGGCGUAAAGCGCACGCAGGCGGUCUGUCAAGUCGGAUGUGAAAUCCCCGGGCUCAACCUGGGAACUGCAUUCGAAACUGGCAGGCUAGAGUCUUGUAGAGGGGGGUAGAAUUCCAGGUGUAGCGGUGAAAUGCGUAGAGAUCUGGAGGAAUACCGGUGGCGAAGGCGGCCCCCUGGACAAAGACUGACGCUCAGGUGCGAAAGCGUGGGGAGCAAACAGGAUUAGAUACCCUGGUAGUCCACGCCGUAAACGAUGUCGACUUGGAGGUUGUGCCCUUGAGGCGUGGCUUCCGGAGCUAACGCGUUAAGUCGACCGCCUGGGGAGUACGGCCGCAAGGUUAAAACUCAAAUGAAUUGACGGGGGCCCGCACAAGCGGUGGAGCAUGUGGUUUAAUUCGAUGCAACGCGAAGAACCUUACCUACUCUUGACAUCCAGAGAACUUUCCAGAGAUGGAUUGGUGCCUUCGGGAACUCUGAGACAGGUGCUGCAUGGCUGUCGUCAGCUCGUGUUGUGAAAUGUUGGGUUAAGUCCCGCAACGAGCGCAACCCUUAUCCUUUGUUGCCAGCGGUUAGGCCGGGAACUCAAAGGAGACUGCCAGUGAUAAACUGGAGGAAGGUGGGGAUGACGUCAAGUCAUCAUGGCCCUUACGAGUAGGGCUACACACGUGCUACAAUGGCGCAUACAAAGAGAAGCGACCUCGCGAGAGCAAGCGGACCUCAUAAAGUGCGUCGUAGUCCGGAUUGGAGUCUGCAACUCGACUCCAUGAAGUCGGAAUCGCUAGUAAUCGUGGAUCAGAAUGCCACGGUGAAUACGUUCCCGGGCCUUGUACACACCGCCCGUCACACCAUGGGAGUGGGUUGCAAAAGAAGUAGGUAGCUUAACCUUCGGGAGGGCGCUUACCACUUUGUGAUUCAUGACUGGGGUGAAGUCGUAACAAGGUAACCGUAGGGGAACCUGCGGUUGGAUCACCUCCUUACCUUAAAGAA
RNAcentral lists this ribosomal RNA (1554 nucleotides) under Enterobacter cloacae complex sp. RNAcentral's name for it is "bacterial SSU rRNA". It matches the Rfam family "Bacterial small subunit ribosomal RNA". Lineage: Bacteria; Pseudomonadati; Pseudomonadota; Gammaproteobacteria; Enterobacterales; Enterobacteriaceae. The record is from RNAcentral.